RNAcentral lists this non-coding RNA (121 nucleotides) under Geosporobacter ferrireducens. RNAcentral's name for it is "MoCo sequence". It matches the Rfam family "Molybdenum/Tungsten riboswitch aptamer (Moco RNA motif)". Lineage: Bacteria; Bacillati; Bacillota; Clostridia; Peptostreptococcales; Thermotaleaceae. The record is from Rfam by way of RNAcentral.
UGUUGAACGUCUCUUCGAGUCUGUUUAUCUAAGGACAAUCGUCUAUGAUUUUAAGACCGAUAGGGUAAAGCCGGAAACGGUUCUGCCUCCCAGUGAGGAAAGAAGAGAUCGUGGUAGAGUA